This 253-nucleotide ribosomal RNA is filed under the name uncultured bacterium. RNAcentral describes it as "partial 16S ribosomal RNA". It matches the Rfam family "Bacterial small subunit ribosomal RNA", at positions 524 to 776 of the family's 1533-position model. The record is from RNAcentral.
GACGAGGUGCACAAACGUUAUUCGGAUUUACUGGGCGUAAAGCGCGUGUAGGCGGCUUGGCAAGUCGGAUGUGAAAGCCCACGGCUCAAUCGUGGAAGCGCAUCCGAAACUGCUUCGCUCGAGUCUCGGAGAGGAAGGUGGAAUGCUUGGUGUAGAGGUGAAAUUCGUAGAUAUCAAGCAGAACACCUGCGGCGAAGGCGGCCUUCUGGACGAUGACUGACGCUGAGACGCGAAAGCGUGGGGAGCAAACAGG